This 909-nucleotide ribosomal RNA is filed under the name Epicoccum nigrum. RNAcentral's name for it is "LSU rRNA". It matches the Rfam family "Eukaryotic large subunit ribosomal RNA", at positions 38 to 964 of the family's 3401-position model. The record is from RNAcentral. Lineage: Eukaryota; Fungi; Ascomycota; Dothideomycetes; Pleosporales; Didymellaceae.
GCAUAUCAAUAAGCGGAGGAAAAGAAACCAACAGGGAUUGCCCUAGUAACGGCGAGUGAAGCGGCAACAGCUCAAAUUUGAAAUCUGGCGUCUUUGGCGUCCGAGUUGUAAUUUGCAGAGGGCGCUUUGGCAUUGGCAGCGGUCCAAGUUCCUUGGAACAGGACGUCACAGAGGGUGAGAAUCCCGUACGUGGUCGCUAGCCUUUACCGUGUAAAGCCCCUUCGACGAGUCGAGUUGUUUGGGAAUGCAGCUCUAAAUGGGAGGUAAAUUUCUUCUAAAGCUAAAUACUGGCCAGAGACCGAUAGCGCACAAGUAGAGUGAUCGAAAGAUGAAAAGCACUUUGGAAAGAGAGUUAAAAAGCACGUGAAAUUGUUGAAAGGGAAGCGCUUGCAGCCAGACUUGCCUGUAGUUGCUCAUCCGGGUUUUUACCCGGUGCACUCUUCUACGGGCAGGCCAGCAUCAGUUUGGGCGGUUGGAUAAAGGUCUCUGUCAUGUACCUCCUCUCGGGGAGAUCUUAUAGGGGAGACGACAUGCAACCAGCCUGGACUGAGGUCCGCGCAUCUGCUAGGAUGCUGGCGUAAUGGCUGUAAGCGGCCCGUCUUGAAACACGGACCAAGGAGUCUAACAUCUAUGCGAGUGUUUGGGUGUCAAGCCCGAACGCGUAAUGAAAGUGAACGGAGGUGGGAACCUUUCGGGGUGCACCAUCGACCGAUCCUGAUGUCUUCGGAUGGAUUUGAGUAAGAGCAUAGCUGUUGGGACCCGAAAGAUGGUGAACUAUGCUUGAAUAGGGUGAAGCCAGAGGAAACUCUGGUGGAGGCUCGCAGCGGUUUCUGACGUGCAAAUCGAUCGUCAAAUUUGGGCAUAGGGGCGAAAGACUAAUCCAACUAUCUAGUAGCUGGUUCCUGCCGA